Molecule: ribosomal RNA, 305 nt
Filed under: uncultured bacterium
Lineage: Bacteria
Description: bacterial SSU rRNA
Rfam family: Bacterial small subunit ribosomal RNA
Source: RNAcentral
CGCCUACGGGGGGCAUCAGUAUUUACUUUUCGUCACUUUUCUCAAGCCUGAACGAGCAAUGCCGCGUGAACGAGGAAGGUCUUCGGAUCGUAAAGUUCUGUUGAAGGGGAAAAAGAGCGGAGAGAGGAAAUGGUCUCCGAUUGAUAUUACCCUUCGAGGAAGUCACGGCUAACUACGUGCCAGCAGCCGCGGUAAUACGUAGGUGGCGAGCGUUAUCCGGAAUGAUUGGGCGUAAAGGGUGCGUAGGCGGCCUGCUAAGUCUGGAGUGAAAGGCACCGGCUCAACCGGUACAGGCUCUGGAAACU